UGGGACAAGCCCUGGAAACGGGGUCUAAUACCGGAUACCACUUUGUCCCGCAUGGGACGGGGUUGAAAGCUCCGGCGGUGAAGGAUGAGCCCGCGGCCUAUCAGCUUGUUGGUGGGGUAAUGGCCUACCAAGGCGACGACGGGUAGCCGGCCUGAGAGGGCGACCGGCCACACUGGGACUGAGACACGGCCCAGACUCCUACGGGAGGCAGCAGUGGGGAAUAUUGCACAAUGGGCGAAAGCCUGAUGCAGCGACACCGCGUGAGGGAUGACGGCCUUCGGGUUGUAAACCUCUUCAGCAGGGAAGAAGCGCAAGUGA
This 318-nucleotide ribosomal RNA is filed under the name Streptomyces sp. 2BD2. Its description in RNAcentral is "bacterial SSU rRNA". It matches the Rfam family "Bacterial small subunit ribosomal RNA", at positions 139 to 459 of the family's 1533-position model. The record is from RNAcentral. Lineage: Bacteria; Bacillati; Actinomycetota; Actinomycetes; Kitasatosporales; Streptomycetaceae.